Molecule: ribosomal RNA, 435 nt
Filed under: uncultured bacterium
Lineage: Bacteria
Description: bacterial SSU rRNA
Rfam family: Bacterial small subunit ribosomal RNA
Source: RNAcentral
CCUUUCAGUGGGAACGAAAUUGACGGUACCCACAGAAGAAGCCCCGGCUAACUACGUGCCAGCAGCCGCGGUGAUACGUAGGGGGCGAGCGUUGUCUGGAUUUACUGGGCGUAAGAGCUCGUAGGCGGUUCAACAAGUCGGGUGUUAAACCCCCAGGCUCAACCUGGGGCCGCCACCCGAAACUGUUGUGACUAGAGUUUGGUAGGGGAUCAGGGAAUUCCUGGUGUAGCGGUGGAAUGCGCAGAUAUCAGGAGGAGCACCAGUGGCGAAGGCGGUGAUCUGGGCCAAUACUGACGCUGAGGAGCGAAAGCGUGGGGAGCGAACAGGAUUAGAUACCAUGGUAGUCCACGCCGUAAACGGUGGUCUCUAGGUGUGGGGACUUUUCUAACGGUCUCCUGCGCCCGCCAGACCUAACGCCAAAAAUAAGUUCCCCCG